RNAcentral lists this transfer RNA (78 nucleotides) under Candidatus Bathyarchaeota archaeon. RNAcentral's name for it is "tRNA-Gly". It matches the Rfam family "tRNA". From Rfam's summary of the family: Transfer RNA (tRNA) molecules are approximately 80 nucleotides in length. Lineage: Archaea; Thermoproteati; Candidatus Bathyarchaeota. RNAcentral also lists the same sequence under 1 other name. The record is from RNAcentral.
GCGGCCGUGGUCAAGCUUGGUCUAAGACGGGAGCCCGCCACGCUCCUAACCCGGGUUCAAAUCCCGGCGGCCGCACCA